UCCCGCUGUGGCGAAACUGGUAGACGCAGUAGCUUGGUAAGCUACCGAGCUUAGCUCAGUAGGGGUUCAAGUCCUCUCGGCGAAAUC
This 87-nucleotide transfer RNA is filed under the name subsurface metagenome. RNAcentral describes it as "tRNA-Thr". It matches the Rfam family "tRNA". From Rfam's summary of the family: Transfer RNA (tRNA) molecules are approximately 80 nucleotides in length. The record is from RNAcentral.